This is a non-coding RNA of Mycena leptocephala, 87 nucleotides long. The record is from the annotation of a GenBank genome assembly. NCBI's taxonomy places the organism in Eukaryota, Fungi, Basidiomycota, Agaricomycetes, Agaricales, Mycenaceae.
GCGGACGUGGUGCAUGGUGCACCUUUUCUAUUCAUCAUGCAGGUCUAGAUUGAAGGAGAUGUUGGGGUUCGACUCCCCGCGUCCGCA